This 804-nucleotide long non-coding RNA is filed under the name Anas platyrhynchos platyrhynchos (common mallard). RNAcentral's name for it is "lncRNA (ENSAPLG00000028727.1)". Lineage: Eukaryota; Metazoa; Chordata; Aves; Anseriformes; Anatidae. The record is from RNAcentral.
AUGCUCCCAGGUGGUUGGGGCAUCCCUGGGGAGAUGCCACCACGGCUGCCCCUUACACCACCCCUUCCCGAGGACCAGGAUGCCCUCCCACCCUCCCCACCGCAUCCCCAUCCCAGGGGCGCAUCGCUGCGAGCACCGAGCCCCCUGCAAGGAUGCUGUACCUGGGGUCAGCGGCGUGGUCCAGCCGGGGGGGUUGUUGCCAAGCAACCCGUCUCCCCCCGCCGGGUUUCCAUGGCGAUGGCGAUGCUGCCGAGGCGGGCUGGGAGCCAGGCAGAUGCUGAAUUUCACAAAGCUGCACCCCUGCCCCAAAGCUCGGCGCAAGCCUGCAGGCACGGGGCUGCAAGCGGCGCAGGAGCUCCUGCAGCCAAAAGUGGGGCAGGAGCUGGGUGCUCCGUGGGGAGGCAGCGGGUGGGCGCACGUGGGUACGUGAGGGGACCUUGGCAGCCCGUCAGACCCCUGGGAGCAGGGCUGAAGAAAGCCAGCUUGAAAGCUUGGAGCUUCACUGAGUGUUAUCGGUGCCUUUGGACGUGGAGCAGGGGAGCACUCGGGAUCCCGGCGCUGGUGGCUCCAAUGGAGCCGGCGGCUGCAGCGAGCGCCUUGCCGAGGAGCAGCCAGCCACGAAGCCGUGCCAGGUGGGACCGGGCCUGCCAAAAUAAACCAGGGAGUAUUUUUAGCAGGUCGGAACGAGCAGCACGCCGGCUCGCUGGAUGCAGGGCACGCGGGAGCAGAUGGCGUACGAGCUUCUCCCGCUGCGGUCCCCGCACAAACACCUCCGUCCUGAGCCACCUCGAGGGCUGGAAUUGA